CACAAUUGGUAACUCAUAGGUAUGACUUGAUUUUAGGGACUCCAGGCAUCUGUGAAGGAGAUGCUGGAGGGUAAACCUUUUUAGUAGUGAGCAACUAGCAGUAUCUGGUCAGUCUUGUUUAUACACCAGACAUGCACAUUUUCAUACCCUUUCCCCAGAUAAUUUCAAUGUCUCAUGAAUGAAUAACAGCUGAGUUUUGAGGUUUACAAAGCUCUUUCUAUUAUUAUCUCAUUUGAUCCUUACAACUUUCUCAAUGAGGCAGAUAAUGUAGAUAGUAUCAUCAUUCUGAUUGUAACUGGAACUGGGGUUCAAAAAGAAGUUUAGUGACCCACUUAUCCAUUUAAAGUUUACAACGCUUUACAAAUGUGAGGUGGCUACUAAGUAAUUUUCAUUUUGUAACUAAUACUAAUACUAAGAUUCAGUUUGACUUGCCCAAUGUCACAGCUAGUGUUAAGGGAUGAGGUUCAAAACCAGAUCUUCUUGACUAGCAUUUGACUGAUUAUUCCACAUGGCUGCCCUCCAGCUGAUUUGCCUGAUUUGGGCACUGGCCCUGUUUGCACACGCAUGGGUACAUUUUUUUCAUGCUCAGUAUCUUAUGAAUUAACAUAACCUCCAGCAGCAGGACUGCCCUUGCCCUUGCCCACCCUCACCACCCAUACAUAUUCCCUUUCUCUCUAAAGCCCCAGUAACAACCAGUGAAUAAAAAGACCAGGAGAACCAGGAUGCCGAAGCGCAAACUCCAGAUGGGAAGGGGGGCCUAGAAGUAAGUUUGUUUGCUCUCCUGUCCCAGGCUUCUCUCUCCAACUCAGACACAGACUUUGUAUUCCUCCUUUAGCCUUCACCCCCAUCUUCAUCCUCCACCCUCCUUAUCUGAGACACCAGCCUAGCGCUACCUCAAGCCACCCACCCAUCUCUAUGGCAACCAGAACCUCCAAGGCCCCCACACUGCCUUGAUAAGACCCGCCCACAUGGGCCUCCCGGGUUUCUUCCCCCUCAUCCUCUCACACCAGACUUCUCACUGUAAGAUGUAUAUGGGGGGGGGGGGGGGCCGGGGCGGUGUCAAUGUAUUGUCAUUGAGUGAACAGGCCCAAAUCAGGGGCUCUGAGAUGACUAAAGGCAGAAGGCUAACUGGAACACAAAUUUUAGAAUUUUAGAGAUAGAAGGAACUUUAGAAGGAGGUGUAGUUGAAAGAAUGGAGAUCUUAGAGGAGGUGGGUAGAAGGAAUGGGGGUCUUAGAGGAGGUGGGUAGAAGGAAUGGGGGUCUUAGAGGAGGUGGGUAGAAGGAAUGGGGGUCUUAGAGGAGGUGGGUAGAAGGAAUGGAGGUUUUAGAGGAGGUGGGUAGAAGGAAUGGGGGUCUUAGAGGAGGUGGGUAGAAGGAAUGGAGGUUUUAGAGGAGGUGGGUAGAAGGAAUGGGGGUCUGGAGAUGGGUAGAAGGAAUGGAGGUCUUAGAGGAGGUGGGUAGAAGGAAUGGAGGUUUUAGAGGAGGUGGGUAGAAGGAAUGGGGGUCUUAGAGGAGGUGGGUAGAAGGAAUGGGGGUCUGGAGAUGGGUAGAAGGAAUGGAGGUCUUAGAGGUGGGAGACCCCACUCUCAGGUUUCAACACUUAACUAGCCGUAUGACCUUGUUCCAGUAACUUCCUAUUCCCUAAGAGAAAGUAAGUCCCCUGAAGGAGAAGACUCCCUCUUUUGUGUUUGUAAGUCCAGCCUCAAACAAUAGGCACUUAACCCGCUUAUUGGAUGAUUGAUAACUUCCCAGUUUGUCAAUAGAUUGAUGAUAAUGAUACCCAUACUAUAUGACUUUCUCCCCUCACAGCUUUUGUGAGGAAUGUGCAACAUCAUGUAUUACAUAUAUAUAUGAACACUUUAGUUAUUAUUGUCAUCUAGUUCAACUUUCCUUCAACUGCAGAGUGCCAUUGAUGGUGUUCCCCAGCCUUCUCCCUGAGGGAGGGGGUAGCAUGCUGGAGCAGGAUAUCCGGGGAGAAUUUGGGGCAGACAUACACACAUAGGUACAAGGCGCCCUCCAAGCCCCUUGUAGUGUCAGCAGGGUGGGGCUAGGCGUGGAGUCGGCUCGUGCCGGUGGUGAAAAAAUUGGGAAUUGGAGAACACGAGCAUGAGUGUCGCGGUUGGGAGUGGCUCUGCUUGGAGCUAUUCCUGUCCAGUGUCCACUGUCUUAGAGCCCUGUCUCUUUCUCCUCUUCCUCUUCUCUCCCCCCUCUUUGCUUUUCCUUCCUUUUCUUUCACCAUCUUUUUUCCAUUUUCCCUUUCACCCUCUUCCAUUCUUUCCCCCCCCUUCCUCAAGUUAUUGGCAACAGUUGGAUGCCUGGAAAAAAGACGGAAUCCAGCUAGGUCACAGGUUUCCAAAAUGGCGCCCGGGCGGGUGGGGGCGGGCCCAUCGUGUGGCCCUGGGGUGGCAGCUGACCAAUGCCCUCGCUGUAUUCUCUUGCCUGUCACCAGAAAUGCCCCCGACGCAGAGCUAAGCCCCGGCUUUCAUCCAGAGUGUGUUGUUUUUCCCGUUUUGAGGAAAGCACCCCAGCUGUUUCCUCUUACCUCAUUCUUUUCCUCUCUUUUCCAUCCCGACCCUGUGCACCCCCAUCUGCUGGGUCUGGGCCGUUCGGGCCUGACCCCCCGGGCCCAACAGGCCAUUUUCGCUGUAGUCCAUGGGAAGAGAGGAGUGGCCAGGGACACGAGCGUUUCCAGGCCCAGAUGCCUGGACCUUCACCCAGCCACCACGGCUCUGGGGAUUUAGUAACUAGCUCUCCAGCAGGAUGGGCGGGAGGAGGGAGGGAAAUGCAGGAAGCAGCCAGGGUCUGCGUGCCCUCUGAAUGCGCGCCCUUUCCACUUGAGUGUGGCCACAGUCAAAGUGAGGGGUCCUCCCGGCCCGUGGCUGAAGGGCCUGCUCUUCCCAAGAGUGCUCCCGCCUCUUCUCUCCAUCCCUGGGCCCGCGUCCUCCCUCCCGCCCCUAUUUAUAGCCGCACAGUGGCUGGUAACAGUGUCACUCGCCCAAGCUGGGCUGAUUGCUGCUGUGGGAGAGGGAGGGGCCCGGGACUAGAUGGGGAUGAUCCCCCCAUGCCCUAAAUCCAGCUGCCUGGGGCUCCUCUGGGACAGAGCCAGGAAGAAGGGAUUUUGAACUGUCCUGGUCCUGGUUUUUAUAUAACACACACACACACACACACACACACACACACACGCACUGGUCCAAGGGACACCCACUCAGACACAAACACACACAUGCUACACCCACGCUGGAGUGUGUUACACACACGAAGUGAGCAUGGCCGACAUGUUGGUGCUUUCCCUCUGAGUCAUGUCCCAUCCGCCCGGGGCUCUUACUCGCUCAGGGAUGGAGGGCUGUCCGCCCCCAGCCCAAAGUGGACUUUGGGAGGCCCCUCGCUUUCUCCCGGGGCCCUUGUGCUUGUGGACGGCUGCCUGGGAGGCUAUGGUUGUUUCAUGUACCUCAAUGCGAGACUCAGGCGCUGUUGCAUAACACACCACACAGGGGUACAAAGUGAUGCACAGCUACAUCACACGCACAGCACUCUCCCACGCACCCCACGGACACACUCUUCAGCCGCCUCCCACGCCCCCCGGCACCCACCCACCCAGUCAUCCAUUCCAUGUGCUCACUUUUGCUCUCUCCCUCUCUUACUCUCCCUUUCUCCCCCCUUUCUCUCACUCUUUCUCUCUCUGUCUCUGUCUGUCUCUCUCCUCUCUCUCUGUCUCUAUCUCUGUCUCUGUCUCUGUCUCUUUG
This is a long non-coding RNA of Antechinus flavipes (yellow-footed antechinus), 3744 nucleotides long. RefSeq lists it as uncharacterized. The record is from RefSeq and is a predicted model, not a curated record. The transcript is spliced from 3 exons. NCBI's taxonomy places the organism in Eukaryota, Metazoa, Chordata, Mammalia, Dasyuromorphia, Dasyuridae.